UAUUGUACAACAUAUUGUAGAAGUAACGAUGUCAUAUGUCGUUUAAUUUAACAUCAAUGAACUUUCUUAUAGCUGGAUACAUAUACAUAUACCAUACCAAUACUUAUAAUGAAGAGGCAAAACAAAAUUAUAAUUAGUUUUUACAAGCUGAUGGCUUUGCGCCUUGUAGAACCUAAAUUACCGUUAAUGCGUCGUAAAAUUUGAUAAAAUCUAAUAAAGAACCACAGCAUCUAGAUACAUUAAAUAACAAAUGACGUUUAUUAUGGUUUUAUG
Bradysia coprophila is the source of this 273-nucleotide long non-coding RNA. NCBI's taxonomy places the organism in Eukaryota, Metazoa, Arthropoda, Insecta, Diptera, Sciaridae. The record is from RefSeq and is a predicted model, not a curated record.